GAUGAACGCUAGCGGCAGGCUUAAUACAUGCAAGUCGAGGGGCAGCAGGACUGUAGCAAUACAGUUGCUGGCGACCGGCACACGGGUGCGGAACACGUACGCAACCUACCCAAAACUGGGGGAUAGCCCGGGGAAACCCGGAUUAAUACCUCGUAACCUUUUUAAGUGGCAUCACUUGAUAAGUAUAGCUCCGGCGGUUUUGGAUGGGCGUGCGCCUGAUUAGGUAGUUGGUGCGGGUAACGGCCCACCAAGCCUGCGAUCAGUAACUGGUGUGAGAGCACGACCAGUCACACGGGCACUGAGACACGGGCCCGACUCCUACGGGAGGCAGCAGUAAGGAAUAUUAGUCAAUGGACGCAAGUCUGAACCAGCCAUGCCGCGUGAAGGAUGAAGGUCCUCUGGAUUGUAAACUUCUUUUAUGGGGGACGAAACCCGGAUAUUCUUAUCCGAUUGACGGUACCUCAGGAAUAAGCACCGGCUAACUCCGUG
RNAcentral lists this ribosomal RNA (489 nucleotides) under uncultured bacterium. RNAcentral's name for it is "partial 16S ribosomal RNA". It matches the Rfam family "Bacterial small subunit ribosomal RNA", at positions 28 to 507 of the family's 1533-position model. The record is from RNAcentral.